RNAcentral lists this ribosomal RNA (102 nucleotides) under Providencia stuartii. Its description in RNAcentral is "partial 23S ribosomal RNA". The stretch from base 1 to 81 matches the Rfam family "Bacterial large subunit ribosomal RNA", at positions 2845 to 2925 of the family's 2925-position model. Lineage: Bacteria; Pseudomonadati; Pseudomonadota; Gammaproteobacteria; Enterobacterales; Morganellaceae. The record is from RNAcentral.
CUAAGACGUUGAUAGGUUGGGUGUGUAAGCGUAGCGAUACGUUGAGCUAACCAAUACUAAUGAACCGUGAGGCUUAACCUGACAACACCGAAGGUGUUUUAG